RNAcentral lists this ribozyme (117 nucleotides) under Aedes aegypti (yellow fever mosquito). Its description in RNAcentral is "drz-agam-1 ribozyme". It matches the Rfam family "drz-agam-1 ribozyme". Lineage: Eukaryota; Metazoa; Arthropoda; Insecta; Diptera; Culicidae. The record is from Rfam by way of RNAcentral.
UGCACAGCAAUUCCUAUUUCUUCUUCCUCACGGUACUGGCCGAGGAUUGAUCCAAACUUAGGGAGGAUCAAGUGACCAAUCCCGGUGAGAACUUUGGUCGUAUGCUGACAGGGAAGG